Molecule: ribosomal RNA, 426 nt
Filed under: uncultured bacterium
Lineage: Bacteria
Description: bacterial SSU rRNA
Rfam family: Bacterial small subunit ribosomal RNA
Source: RNAcentral
GUGAGGAAUUUUCCGCAAUGGGCGAAAGCCUGACGGAGCAAUGCCACGUGAAGGAUGAAGGCCUAUGGGUUGUAAACUUCUUUUCUCAGAAAAGAAUUAUGACGGUAUCUGAGGAAUAAGCAUCGGCUAACUCUGUGCCAGCAGCCGCGGUAAGACAGAGGAUGCAAGCGUUAUCCGGAAUGAUUGGGCGUAAAGCGUCUGUAGGUUGUUUAAAAAGUAUUCUGUCAAAGAUUAGGGCUUAACCCUAGAUAGGCAGAAUAAACUUUUAAGCUAGAGUUUGGUAGAGGCAGAGGGAAUUCCCGGUGGAGCGGUGAAAUGCGUAGAUAUCGGGAGGAACACCAAAGGCGAAGGCACUCUGCUGUGCCAAUACUAACACUGAGAGACGAAAGCGAGGGGAGCAAAUGGGAUUAGAUACCCCAGUAGUCC